This 492-nucleotide ribosomal RNA is filed under the name uncultured bacterium. Its description in RNAcentral is "partial 16S ribosomal RNA". It matches the Rfam family "Bacterial small subunit ribosomal RNA", at positions 29 to 507 of the family's 1533-position model. The record is from RNAcentral.
AGUGAGCGCUGGCGGUAGGCCUAACACAUGCAAGUCGAACGGCAGCACAGUAAGAGCUUGCUCUUACGGGUGGCGAGUGGCGGACGGGUGAGGAAUACAUCGGAAUCUACUUUUUCGUGGGGGAUAACGUAGGGAAACUUACGCUAAUACCGCAUACGACCUACGGGUGAAAGCAGGGGAUCUUCGGACCUUGCGCGAUUGAAUGAGCCGAUGUCGGAUUAGCUAGUUGGCGGGGUAAAGGCCCACCAAGGCGACGAUCCGUAGCUGGUCUGAGAAGAUGAUCAGCCACACUGGAACUGAGACACGGUCCAGACUCCUACGGGAGGCAGCAGUGGGGAAUAUUGGACAAUGGGCGCAAGCCUGAUCCAGCCAUACCGCGUGGGUGAAGAAGGCCUUCGGGUUGUAAAGCCCUUUUGUUGGGAAAGAAAAGCAGCAGGUUAAUACCCCGCUGUUCUGACGGUACCCAAAGAAUAAGCACCGGCUAACUUCGUG